Molecule: unclassified non-coding RNA, 2285 nt
Filed under: uncultured fungus
Lineage: Eukaryota; Fungi
Description: sequence contains 18S rRNA gene, ITS1, 5.8S rRNA gene, ITS2, 28S rRNA gene
Rfam family: Eukaryotic large subunit ribosomal RNA (bases 1136-2285)
Source: RNAcentral
GGAAGGAUCAUUAACACGUUAUCCACGUAUCUACCUCUUGCGAACUUUUUACUGUUUAAGAGUCGGCAGACCAGCGUAGAUGAUGGAGGUAGAUGUUACUAUGUCCAGCGGUCGACGCCCUGGUUCUACCUGCCUAACUAACCCCGCACUAAAUGUGGUGUAGUGUGUGGGUUGGGUAUUCUGGUUCAUAUGACUCGAAUCAUAGUAGUUUUUAAUCUUAUUAACCCUUUUUACCAAAUUUGUUGAAUUGUGAUGGUCUCUGGAGGUAACACUUCGGCCGACUCACGUUAAUAAAACACUAUACAACUCUUAGCAACGGAUAUCUCGGUUCUCCUAUCGAUGAAGAACGCAGCGAAAUGCGAUACGUAAUGCGAAUUGCAGAAUUCAGUGAAUCAUCGAAUCUUUGAACGCAAAUUGCACUCUGGGGUAGCCCCCAGAGUACACUUCUUUCAGUAUCGUUUCAACACAAACUCAGCUGCGUGCUUUUUUGAAAAGAAAGGUCACGUCGGCUGGAUAAUGAGAGUAAGCCACAUUCUUUUCCCUUAAAAACGGAUCAGAGAGGACUUUCUCUUUAAGUUCAGUUCAGCUUGGAACCCCGGUAGCAUGCCGAAAGGAUAUUAGCGCUUUCCUUUGUCAAGGAGUCUAGAGCAAUUUCAGCAAAAGAGUAUAGAUCGUCAAACUAUCUCUUUUAGCUGCGCUCUAGUUUCUGAUGCAAUUCAGCGUGGAUGUGUGGGUGUAGAUCGUCAAACUACUCCAUCAUCCAGAGCUGCGCUUAGACUCGAUGCAUUCAGCGUGAAGGUGUAGAUCGUCAAACUACUCUUCAGAGCUGCGCGUUGGGCAGCCUUGACAAUAAGAUUGCCUCUUGAGGAUUACGAAAGUACGGUCUUCCAAUAUCAAACAGUGUCACUGUCUCUUGAUAAAAAAUUCAAUUUUCUCCAGUAGGGUUCAAAAGUGGUGUGAACACCGAACGGAAAAAGAAAAAAAUCUUCGAGACUUGGUGAAGAUCACUGGGAAAUGCCAGAAAAAGUGUCUUCUUGAGGGCUAGUAUCGGCCGAGUAACGCACUACCUAUACCAAAUAAGGUCCGGAGCUAUUUAUAAGGCUAGAGUAAAAUCUAGAAACCCCUUUUCUGAAUUUGAUCUGAAAUGAAGUGGGACUACCCGCCGAAUUUAAGCAUAUUAUUAAGCGGAGGAAAAGAAACUAACAAGGAUUCCCCUAGUAACGGCGAGUGAAGCGGGAAAAGCUCAAACUUAAAAUCGGUGUACCUAGCAGUGCUCCGAGUUGUAGUCUAGAGACGCAGUGCCAGCGUGUGACCUGGGUAUAAAUCUUUUGAAACAAGGUAUCAGAGAGGGUGAGAAUCCCGUCUUUGACCCGGAGUUUGCCGCGUACGGCCUGUGUUCUAAGAGUCGGAUAGCUUGGGAAUGCUGUCCUAAAUGGGUGGUAAAUUUCAUCUAAAGCUAAAUACAGAGGAGAGACCGAUAGCGUACAAGUACCGUGAGGGAAAGAUGAAAAGAACUUUGAAAAGAGAGUUAAAAAGAACUUGAAAUUGCUAAGAGGUAAGCACUGGAAACCAGUCAUGCCUGUGACUAUUUGCCCGAUCGCUGGGGUUCGUCGGUCUUGCUGGGACGUUAAAGCUCAGCUUGGCUGUAUUUGGGCUUCAGGGGUUGGGAACUGUAGUCAUGGGCGAGUCAACAUCAGUUAGAAUCGCAGGAGAAUUUCGUGCGGAAGGUAGUCCUGCUGCAGCGAUGUAGUAGGAAACUUAUAGCCGUGCGGCACUACUGUGGCACUGACUGAGGAAACGAUAACGCGCCCCUUUAUUGGGAGCGGUCCCUAGCUCCUGCUGGUCUGGUUUGGUACGGAGAACAAAGUUCUGCGUGUUGGCCAUGGCUGGUACUGGGUUGGGUCGAUCAGCUGCGUGUUCGCGAUGUUGACGAAAUGGUUUUCAUUGACCCGUCUUGAAACACGGACCAAGGAGUAUAACAUAUAUGCGAGUAUUUGAGUGAGUAAAACCCUGAUGCGAAAUGAAAGUAAAGCGAACCUUUAUGGUUCGUGAGGUAGGAACCCUGGGCUCGUUCCGGGAGGCACUAUCGACCGAUCGUUCAUUUAUGAAAGAUUUGAGUAAGAGCAUAUCUGUUGUGACCCGAAAGAUGGUGAACUAUGCCUGAUCAGGGCGAAGCCAGGGGAAACUCUGGUGGAGGCUCGUAGCGAUACUGACGUGCAAAUCGUUCGUCUGAAUUGGGUAUAGGGGCGAAAGACUAAUCGAACCAUCUAGUAGCUGGUUCCCUC